GGGCCCGUGGCGCAGAAUGGAUAGCGCGGCGGCCUCCUACCCCGCCGACAGGGUUCAAGUCCCACCGGGCCCG
This 73-nucleotide transfer RNA is filed under the name Candidatus Caldarchaeum subterraneum. Its description in RNAcentral is "Candidatus Caldiarchaeum subterraneum (hot springs metagenome) tRNA-Arg". It matches the Rfam family "tRNA". Rfam says of the family: Transfer RNA (tRNA) molecules are approximately 80 nucleotides in length. Their secondary structure includes four short double-helical elements and three loops (D, anti-codon, and T loops). Further hydrogen bonds mediate the characteristic L-shaped molecular structure. tRNAs have two regions of fundamental functional importance: the anti-codon, which is responsible for specific mRNA codon recognition, and the 3' end, to which the tRNAs corresponding amino acid is attached (by aminoacyl-tRNA synthetases). tRNAs cope with the degeneracy of the genetic code in two manners: having more than one tRNA (with a specific anti-codon) for a particular amino acid; and 'wobble' base-pairing, i.e. permitting non-standard base-pairing at the 3rd anti-codon position. Lineage: Archaea; Thermoproteati; Nitrososphaerota; Candidatus Caldarchaeales; Candidatus Caldarchaeaceae. The record is from RNAcentral.